RNAcentral lists this transfer RNA (69 nucleotides) under Loxodonta africana (African savanna elephant). It matches the Rfam family "tRNA". From Rfam's summary of the family: Transfer RNA (tRNA) molecules are approximately 80 nucleotides in length. The record is from Rfam by way of RNAcentral. Lineage: Eukaryota; Metazoa; Chordata; Mammalia; Proboscidea; Elephantidae.
GAAAUUUUAGUAAAACAAUUACAUAACUCUGUCAAAGUUAAAUUACAGGUUCAAAUCUUGUAAAUUUCU